Molecule: ribosomal RNA, 373 nt
Filed under: uncultured organism
Description: bacterial SSU rRNA
Rfam family: Bacterial small subunit ribosomal RNA
Source: RNAcentral
CGUAGGUGGCAAGCGUUGUCCGGAAUUAUUGGGCGUAAAGCGCGCGCAGGCGGUUCCUUAAGUCUGAUGUGAAAGCCCCCGGCUCAACCGGGGAAGGUCAUUGGAAACUGGGGAACUUGAGUGCAGAAGAGAAGAGCGGAAUUCCACGUGUAGCGGUGAAAUGCGUAGAGAUGUGGAGGAACACCAGUGGCGAAGGCGGCUCUUUGGUCUGUAACUGACGCUGAGGCGCGAAAGCGUGGGGAGCAAACAGGAUUAGAUACCCUGGUAGUCCACGCCGUAAACGAUGAGUGCUAAGUGUUAGAGGGUUUCCGCCCUUUAGUGCUGCAGCUAACGCAUUAAGCACUCCGCCUGGGGAGUACGGCCGCAAGGCUAG